This is a long non-coding RNA of Puntigrus tetrazona (Sumatra barb), 240 nucleotides long. RefSeq lists it as uncharacterized. Lineage: Eukaryota; Metazoa; Chordata; Actinopteri; Cypriniformes; Cyprinidae. The record is from RefSeq and is a predicted model, not a curated record. The transcript has 3 exons.
AGAGUCAACCAAGUUAAUAAUGAACAAACGAUAACGGAACUGUCUGUAUUAUAAAUACCAUGUGCACAUGUGUCUUCUUCUUAAGAGACUUCUAGUUUUUCUUACACGUUCAACAUGUUGGUGCAAAAGAUAAGCUGGACCGUUUUGCUGCUCCUUCUGUGUCAGAACGGAAAGAAUGGAGUAGAAGCAAUAAGGGUAGUGGUCUGUGAAGGAGGAAUUAUGCUUCUCUACUGUACUGUA